AACGUUGGACAUAGCGUGUGGGUAGCAACCCGCUGAAUUAAAGCAUUUAAAUAAGCGGAGGAAAAGAAACUAACCAGG
This 78-nucleotide ribosomal RNA is filed under the name Elaphognathia discolor. RNAcentral's name for it is "partial 28S ribosomal RNA". It matches the Rfam family "Eukaryotic large subunit ribosomal RNA", at positions 1 to 73 of the family's 3401-position model. The record is from RNAcentral. Lineage: Eukaryota; Metazoa; Arthropoda; Malacostraca; Isopoda; Gnathiidae.